AGUAGAUAAAAAAUUUCCGAAAAACCAUUUUUCGAAUGUGUUUUAACAUUUCACUCGAUCUUCGGACUCGAAUUAAGAUUCUGGCGACACUCGAUCGAAUGGUGGCUUAUCGAAUCGGAUUCUAUGUUGGAAACAUUUUCUGCAUGGAUGAACGUACUUGUCUUCUAUUUCUACUGGAAAACUUAAGUUUAUACCUACUAUUGAUCGCUAACAUCUCUCAAUCUUGAUAUGGAAAAUCAAUUCAUCUAUUAUUAAAUCUGAUGGUAAAAAUAAUCGUUAAUUUGGUUGAUCAAUGAAUCCAAAACCAAUUCUGUUGGAA
This is a long non-coding RNA of Panonychus citri (citrus red mite), 319 nucleotides long. RefSeq lists it as uncharacterized. Lineage: Eukaryota; Metazoa; Arthropoda; Arachnida; Trombidiformes; Tetranychidae. The record is from RefSeq and is a predicted model, not a curated record. The transcript is spliced from 3 exons.